RNAcentral lists this transfer RNA (76 nucleotides) under Spirochaetaceae bacterium. Its description in RNAcentral is "tRNA-Thr". It matches the Rfam family "tRNA". From Rfam's summary of the family: Transfer RNA (tRNA) molecules are approximately 80 nucleotides in length. Their secondary structure includes four short double-helical elements and three loops (D, anti-codon, and T loops). Lineage: Bacteria; Pseudomonadati; Spirochaetota; Spirochaetia; Spirochaetales; Spirochaetaceae. The record is from RNAcentral. RNAcentral also lists the same sequence under 1 other name.
GCCCCUGUAGCUCAGUUGGCAGAGCAUAUCCAUGGUAAGGAUAAGGUCAACGGUUCGAUUCCGUUCGGGGGCUCGA